This 497-nucleotide ribosomal RNA is filed under the name uncultured bacterium. Its description in RNAcentral is "partial 16S ribosomal RNA". It matches the Rfam family "Bacterial small subunit ribosomal RNA", at positions 28 to 507 of the family's 1533-position model. The record is from RNAcentral.
GACGAACGCUGGCGGCGUGCCUAAUACAUGCAAGUCGAACGCUGAAGAGAGGAGCUUGCUCUUCUUGGAUGAGUUGCGAACGGGUGAGUAACGCGUAGGUAACCUGCCUUGUAGCGGGGGAUAACUAUUGGAAACGAUAGCUAAUACCGCAUAACAAUGGAUGACACAUGUCAUUUAUUUGAAAGGGGCAAUUGCUCCACUACAAGAUGGACCUGCGUUGUAUUAGCUAGUAGGUGAGGUAAUGGCUCACCUAGGCGACGAUACAUAGCCGACCUGAGAGGGUGCUCGGCCACGCUGGGACUGGGACACGGCCCAGACUCCUGCGGGAGGCAGCAGUAGGGGAUCUUCGGCAAUGGGGGCAACCCUGACCGAGCAACGCCGCGUGAGUGAAGAAGGUUUUCGGGUCGUGAAGCUCUGUUGUAAGUCAAGAACGGGUGUGAGAGUGGAAAGUUCACACUGUGACGGUAGCUUACCAGAAAGGGACGGCUAACUACGUG